This 253-nucleotide ribosomal RNA is filed under the name uncultured bacterium. Its description in RNAcentral is "partial 16S ribosomal RNA". It matches the Rfam family "Bacterial small subunit ribosomal RNA", at positions 524 to 776 of the family's 1533-position model. The record is from RNAcentral.
UACGUAGGAUGCAAGCGUUGUCCGGAAUUAUUGGGCGUAAAGAGCGCGCAGGCGGUAUGUCAAGUCAGGUGUGAAAGCGGCCGGCUUAACCGGCAAGGGUCAUUUGAAACUGUCAGACUAGAGUGCAGCAGAGGAUAGUGGAAUUCCCGGUGUAGUGGUGAAAUGCGUAGAUAUCGGGAGGAACACCAGUGGCGAAGGCGACUAUCUGGGCUGCAACUGACGCUGAGGCGCGAAGGCUAGGGUAGCAAACAGG